ACUUCAUGAUGCUCAGUGAAAUUUGCAUUGUAGAUAAACAGUGAUUCAUGUUUUCAGUAUAAGUUUGUUGUGUGCAAUAUUUGAGACAUACUUAUGCUAAAAAUGACUCAGUGUUUUAUCAAAAGUUCAGACUUUUUCUAGGCAUC
Molecule: microRNA precursor, 146 nt
Filed under: Ochotona princeps (American pika)
Lineage: Eukaryota; Metazoa; Chordata; Mammalia; Lagomorpha; Ochotonidae
Description: miRNA (ENSOPRG00000018170.1)
Source: RNAcentral